This 396-nucleotide unclassified non-coding RNA is filed under the name soil metagenome. RNAcentral's name for it is "partial contains 5.8S ribosomal RNA, internal transcribed spacer 2, and large subunit ribosomal RNA". The stretch from base 1 to 122 matches the Rfam family "5.8S ribosomal RNA", at positions 35 to 154 of the family's 154-position model. The record is from RNAcentral.
GAUGAAGAACGUAGCGAAAUGUGAUACUUGGUGUGAAUUGCAGAAUCCCGUGAACCAUCGAGUCUUUGAACGCAAGUUGCGCCCGAAGCCAUUUGGUUGAGGGCACGUCUGCCUGGGCGUCACAUAUCGUUGCCCGAUGCCUAUUGCACUGUGAUAGGAAAUUCUAGGGCGAAAGAUGGCUUCCCGUGAGCGUUGUUGCCUCGCGGUUGGUUGAAAAUUGAGUCAUUGGUAGGGUGUGCCAUGAUAGAUGGUGGUCGAGUUUGCACGAGACCGAUCAUGUGUGCGCUCCCCAAAAUAUGGACUCUUUGACCCCACACGCGUCUUUUGACGCUCAUGACGAGACCUCAGGUCAGGCGGGGCUACCCGCUGAGUUUAAGCAUAUCAAUAAGCGGAGGA